GGCGAAUCGGGUGUGGGCCACUCUAUCUUCCUCUGCAUCUGCAGUUUGAAGCAAUUUAUGUUUGGGGUUUCUUUUGAAUUUUGAUGAUGCUUUAAAUCUUCCAUUGCAACUCCCCUCCAUCUCUUCUCUCCAUGAAGGUAUAAUUUUUAUACCAAACUCAUCCUUCUUUAUUUAUAUUUAUGAUUUAUAUUUGUUUUGUAUCUCGUGAAUAUAUACAUGGAAAUGUAUGAGGGUAUUCUCUUUCAAUUUUCAUGAAAUUAAGUUCUAUUUUUAUUUAUUUAUUUCCCCCCACUGAUGGAUAUCAUGAAGUUUGUUUUACCGAUUAGCAUUUUUCCCAUUUAAUAGCCUUCACAAAUUGAGAUUUUUUUGCUUUUUAUUUCUUGCUAGUUAGUAAUGGGGUUGUUUUGUUUUGUCUUAAUUUCAUAAAAAGUAUAUAUUUAUCAACUAAACAUUUACAGAGCUUUCUGCCAUUUAGAUUUUUAGGUAUGUUUAUUGUUGUGAUUUGUGCACCGUUUCAAUCUGAGUUGAGUUGCUGCAAAGGUCUUAGCUGAUCUGUGCCAAACAUGUCCACUAUGGAAAAUCGUGGUGAUUUUGUACAACGGAUUGGAGCCGACAUGUCAAUUGAGGUCUUCUUGCAUUUGGACGACCCUUCUGAUCUUGCCCGUGUUUGUUCUGUUUCCAGUUCUUGGCGCUAUUUUGUGAUUGCAAAUGGCCUUUUUAAGAAGCUUUGCUUGAAAUUGUUGCCUGAAAUGUAUAGUGUUGCUCAUUUCAUUGAAGUAAACAAUAUGAUUGAACCUGUAAGAGUUGGACAGAGUGAUUGCAUGGAAUGGGAGUGCCUCAAAAGAAAUCAUAGAGUCUAUGCUCAAUUGGCUCGAGGUCUUACACCUAUCUUGCAAAAUGAUUGCAUAUCAGAAGCUAUUAGUGCGUCCAGCACUGAUAACUACCCUGAAGAAAGCAUCUGGAACACUUUGGAGCCAAAUGAUAAAGUUGGACAUGGAGCUUCAUAUUGGUCAAGUAAAGGGCAAAGUAACCCUACUGUUCCUGAAGCAUUAGUGUACAAGUUUAUAGCUAAUUUAUGUCUCAUAACUGAAAUCCAUAUUCAACCAUUCCAAGCAUACUUCCAGUAUGGCUUCCCUAUAUAUUCAUCUAAGGCUGUCCGAUUUAGACUGGGUCAUCAUAAGUUUCCACUGCAGUUGGAGAAUAAUGUCACAGUUAAUUCUGCUUUCAAUCACAAUUCAAUGGAUGACAAGUUUAUUUGGACAUAUACUUCACCAGAAUUUCCAAUGGCUCAGGAAAACUGCUUGCAAAAGUUCAAGCUACCAGAACCGGUUCUUUGUAUCGGAGGAAUUUUGCAAGUUGAGCUACUGGGAAGAGUUCAGAGACAAGAAAUGGAUGGAUUAUAUUAUAUAUGUAUAUCCCAUGUUCAGGCGGUGGGACGACCCCUUUCACACCCAUUUGAUGUGGAAAUACUUGAUCCCACAGGAAAGUGCACCUUAAAGUAUAGCCCUCUCAGAGAAUCCCGUGGAUCACAUAAAGGAGAGACAUGUGCAACUUCUCGCUUGCAAAUGUUGACUGUGAGAUUAAUGGAGAGAGGCGUAAGGGGAUGGGAAAAUAUGAUUCUCAAUACACUGCUUGGCACUGGGCCAGUGGCUGAAGAGGAUGAGUCAGAUGAUCUUUUAGAGGAUGACUCGGACGAUGAGCUGUUGACAUAAGCUUUAAAAUUUUUGUUUGCAGUUCGUGUUCCCAUUUACGCCUUCUGCUGCACUAAGAUCAAUUGUGCAAAUGGGUAAUGUGGAAAGCCAUAAACUAGUGUCAUCGACAAGUAGGAGGGGACAUUUCUAUUUGUUUUAACAUUUUUAUGAUAUGGUGAUGUGUGACCAACUUAUUAUUUAGUUAAUGAUAUAUCAUUGAAGUUUCCUUUGUUAUCCCCAAUUUUAUUUAAGUUACUAAGCUAAUAGAUGCCC
Molecule: unclassified non-coding RNA, 1964 nt
Filed under: Hevea brasiliensis (rubber tree)
Lineage: Eukaryota; Viridiplantae; Streptophyta; Magnoliopsida; Malpighiales; Euphorbiaceae
Source: RNAcentral